This 268-nucleotide ribosomal RNA is filed under the name Bacillus olivae. RNAcentral's name for it is "partial 16S ribosomal RNA". It matches the Rfam family "Bacterial small subunit ribosomal RNA", at positions 60 to 318 of the family's 1533-position model. Lineage: Bacteria; Bacillati; Bacillota; Bacilli; Caryophanales; Bacillaceae. The record is from RNAcentral.
AGUCGAGCGGACAGAUGGGAGCUUGCUCCCUGAUGUUAGCGGCGGACGGGUGAGUAACACGUGGGUAACCUGCCUGUAAGACUGGGAUAACUCCGGGAAACCGGGGCUAAUACCGGAUGCUUGUUUGAACCGCAUGGUUCAAACAUAAAAGGUGGCUUCGGCUACCACUUACAGAUGGACCCGCGGCGCAUUAGCUAGUUGGUGAGGUAACGGCUCACCAAGGCAACGAUGCGUAGCCGACCUGAGAGGGUGAUCGGCCACACUGGGA